This 468-nucleotide ribosomal RNA is filed under the name uncultured bacterium. Its description in RNAcentral is "partial 16S ribosomal RNA". It matches the Rfam family "Bacterial small subunit ribosomal RNA", at positions 28 to 507 of the family's 1533-position model. The record is from RNAcentral.
GACGAACGCUGGCGGCGUGCUUAACACAUGCAAGUCGAACGGAAAGGCCCUGCUUUUUUGGUGUGCUCGAGUGGCGAACGGGUGAGUAACACGUGAGUAACCUGCCCUUGACUUUGGGAUAACUUCAGGAAACUGGGGCUAAUACCGGAUAGGAGCUCCUGCUGCAUGGUGGGGGUUGGAAAGUUUCGGCGGGUGGGGAUGGACUCGCGGCUUAUCAGCUUGUUGGUGGGGUAGGGGCUUACCAAGGCUUUGACGGGUAGCCGGCCUGAGAGGGUGACCGGCGACAUGGGGACUGAGAGACGGCGCAGACGCCUACGGUAGGCAGCAGUCGCGAAUAUUGCACAAUGGGAGGAAGCCUGAUGAAGCAACGCUGCGUGUGGGAUGACGGCCUUCGGGUUGUAAACCGCUUUAGCCUGUGACGAAGCGUGAGUGACGGUAAUGGGUAAAGAAGCACCGGCUAACUACGUG